Maniola jurtina (meadow brown) is the source of this 1018-nucleotide long non-coding RNA. RefSeq lists it as uncharacterized. NCBI's taxonomy places the organism in Eukaryota, Metazoa, Arthropoda, Insecta, Lepidoptera, Nymphalidae. The transcript has 2 exons. The record is from RefSeq and is a predicted model, not a curated record.
UUGUAAGCUGUGACCAAAACAAAGGAACAUUUUUUGGGUUUUCUUUCACGGUUUGUUGGUCUGUUAUAACAAAAAUCAAAAGCUUAAAAUAAUAAUAUAACUAUACUUAAAUAUUUAAUCUUAACUGGGUUUAACCGCGAUAAAAUCUUAAACAGCUACUUAAUGUGCAAAGGAGAUUAAAACGAGUAACAUGAUAAACAUUUCUACUUAAAACAUUUCUACACUUACAUGAAAGAUUUUUUAAGCCCGAGUGUGCACUCCCACAGUAUCUAAAUUCCUAUACAUAUUAUGUACGUAUAUAAAUGCGAUACAAUGUGAAAAGUAAAAUAAAGAUAAUUAUUAAGUAUUAAUGUUAGUAAAAAUAAUAUACCAUCUCUGAACAGUGCACGUUUAAAAAAAUAACCUAGAGAUUGCGUUAGUAUUUAAUUUAUAAAGAUGUGUAAGGCAUCUGAUAGUUUUGUACUCAAUAAUACUUAUUGUUUUAAUAUAGAAAUUGGGGCUUUUAUAAAUAGGAACCCUUGUAUAUUUACUACUUCUUAAUCAUGUAUUUCAUCCUAAUAUUAUAGAAAGAGAAAAUUCGAGGGAAAACGUCAAUGGUGUGUAUUCUACCUGUUAAUUUAUUUCACACCAGAGAUUUGGGUACAAACUACAAACGAACAGGCAUCAACGACAGUAUUUUACUAGAGUUGGAUACAGGCAGAGCGAACGAGAGCAACCGCCGCGCGUCGGUACAUCAGAUUCGCUGAUGUUCAUUCUAUGGGGGAAACAAGCGAAGGCGAGCAAGCGGUAUUCAUAGGCGAAACUGACUAUUAACUAAUCACCCUCGGUCUUAGUUUACCCUUGUUCAUUCUACCUGUACCAGCCUUAAUAUGAGCAGUCUUUGGUAAAAGAUUUUGAAUGCUGUCUUUAAUUGUUUAAUAGGUACAUGGCUUAAAUACAACAUUCAUAUUUCAUUGCCCUUACUAACAAAAAUAUUUAGCCACUGCUUAAACAAUGGCUAACACACAUUUCUGUCAUA